GGGCUUCUGCCCCAUCCUCUCCCCUCUCUCCCUCACAAAUGCAAGUGAGAGGGGUGGGUGAUGGGUCACGGGGAGGCCUGCUGGAGGUGGCAGGGUGAGCAGCCCGAGGGCGGGCCGCUCCUUCCAGGGCCUGCUUUGUCCUUGUUGAAAGGGUUCAUGAGUGAGCACCAGACUCUUCUAGAAACUCUGCCCCAGGCUGGGUGUGGCAGAAACACCAAGAUCAUUUCUCAGAAUUCUCAUGUGAGUAUAUGCCCACUCCACCUCUGCCCACUGGCUUGGGUGUCCAGGCUGAGAGACGGCCUUAGAAAAGAAAGGUCCCUUGCCAACACAGAGCAUGAGCCAGGCCCAGUCCCGGGUUCUUCACAGGCACGGCCUCCCUUCCUCCUCGAGGCCGCUGUACUACUGACACGGGGGCUGGAAUGUUCUUCGUUGUGUGUCUGUGCUGUGUGCAUUGUAGGAUAUUUAGCAACACCCUUGGCCUCUCCCCACUAGAUGCCAGUAGGUCAUGCACACCCUCCCUCCCAGUAUAACAACCAAACAUGUCUCCAGGCAUUGCCAGGUGUCCCCAGGAGCAAAACCUGUUUGAGAACCUCUGGCUUAGACAGGAGGUGUCCUAGGACUCUAGGACAGGCCCAUGUUUGAACCUGGAUCAUCUGCUCUUGCUGCUCUUGAUCAUCUUCUCUUUGUGGAGAGAAGUCCCCUUUGAGAACCUGUCCCCAGAACAGGGCUCCCACCUUCAGUUUCAAGGAGCGUAUGGCCCCCAGGUGCUCAUUCAUGAGGGACUGUUCAGAACGUCCGCCUGGAAUAUCUGGACGGGAGGCAGCCUGCCCUGCCCCCACGGACCCCCACGCGAAGGCCUGGGCACUGGAGGGGAUGGGUCUCCCUGACUCACAGCCGCUGGACGUCACCUGUAGUUGUCUCAUCCCAGAAGGUAUUUGCGACCUCAGCACUCACCCAAGCAUGCCUGCUCCUGAAGGCAGGAGGGUGUGCCCCGUGAACUCAGCAGGGGGCCUUUGGAUCUGGGUUCCAGAUCGCGAUGAUGCGGGCAGUGGUGGAGGAGCUUCAAGACUCCAGGAACUUCC
This 1082-nucleotide long non-coding RNA is filed under the name Equus asinus (donkey). RNAcentral's name for it is "lncRNA (ENSEASG00005029344.1)". The record is from RNAcentral. Lineage: Eukaryota; Metazoa; Chordata; Mammalia; Perissodactyla; Equidae.